UGCGGUACACUGACCGUACUAAGGUAGCAUAAUAAUUUGCCUUUUAAUUGGAGGCUAGUAUGAAUGGCUUGACGUGAAAUAUACUGUCUCAACUAUAUUUAGUAGAAUUUAACCUUUAGGUGAAGAGGCCUAAAUUUUGUGGGAAGACAAGAAGACCCUAUUGAGCUUUAAAUAUUUGUGUUAGUGGGAACCUAAGAUUUAUAUGAUGGUCAUUACCUCUAAGUAUGUUGGUUGGGGCGACCGAGGAGUGUAAAAUAACCUCCUUGUAAUGUAAAGAAUUUGUUAUCAACGAACCUGUAAUAUAGGUUAUUCGGUAGUUACCAUAGGGAUAACAGCGUAAUUCUUUUGAAGAGUUCAUAUCGAAGAAAGAGAUUGCGACCUCGAUGUUGGAUUAAGGUGUCCUAAGGGUAGAAGAAG
This 417-nucleotide ribosomal RNA is filed under the name Nautilus pompilius. RNAcentral describes it as "partial 16S rRNA". It matches the Rfam family "Bacterial large subunit ribosomal RNA", at positions 1932 to 2561 of the family's 2925-position model. Lineage: Eukaryota; Metazoa; Mollusca; Cephalopoda; Nautilida; Nautilidae. The record is from RNAcentral.